CUACGGGUUGCUCCAGUGAGGAAUUUUGCGCAAUGGGGGGAACCCUGACGCAGCAACGCCGCGUGAGUGAUGAAGGCUUUCGGGUCGUAAAGCUCUGUCAAGUGGGAAGAACCUAUGCAGUGUUAAUAUCACUGUAUACUGACGGUACCACUGAAGGAAGCACCGGCUAACUCCGUGCCAGCAGCCGCGGUAAUACGGGGGGUGCAAGCGUUAUUCGGAAUCAUUGGGCGUAAAGGGCACGUAGGCGGCUUGGUAAGUCAGAUGUGAAAGCCCGGGGCUUAACCCCGGAAGUGCAUUUGAUACUGUCAGGCUUGAGUAUGGGAGAGGGAAGUGGAAUUCCUGGUGUAGAGGUGAAAUUCGUAGAUAUCAGGAGGAACACCGGUGGCGAAGGCGACUUCCUGGACCAAUACUGACGCUGAGGUGCGAAGGCGUGGGUAGCAAACAGGAUUAGAUACCCCCGUAGUC
RNAcentral lists this ribosomal RNA (465 nucleotides) under uncultured bacterium. RNAcentral describes it as "partial 16S ribosomal RNA". It matches the Rfam family "Bacterial small subunit ribosomal RNA", at positions 339 to 795 of the family's 1533-position model. The record is from RNAcentral.